UUUCUAUGUUCUGUUUUGCAGUCUAUUUUGACACAGUUAAGAAGUCAAACUGACCCUCAUUCGUCUCUGUGCCACCCCUUAGCCACUAAAUGGCAGAGAGGCCUCACCACGGAUGCCCACUCAGCCCCCAAAGUGAGAUGUGAGUUUGCAAGGCUUAAAGGGGAGCAGGAAACUGACUGGAGCCCAACAAACAGUGCUACUCCUGCCACUGUUUUUAAAAACCCAGGUUUUAAACACCUAGAUGACGGGAACCAGGUCCCAUUCCACAUUGUGUUUGGCUGACCAGUUCUGCCACUGUCACCUAGCAAAGCCUUCCUGCACAAACAAAUGACUAGAAGAGGAUUGACAAGCUUACCUUCUGAAAUACUUCUAUGAGGUGACAGCACCAAGAAUAUUUUUGGAAGCAUGUGAUGAGUUGUACAAUGAAGAGAGAUCCCUUUGUGACGUGUCUCCAGGAUACGUUAUCUAUGAAGACAGAAAGAGAAUCAUUCAGAGGUGGCCUCAGGCCCACAAAUCCCUGUGUGCACUGGAAAGACACAUACGUGGGGUCGAGGAGCAGAAAGCAACGAAGUCCUUCUCAAUGUGGACCUUGUGGACGGCAUCACUCUCCAGGAGCAGAGGUCGAUGUGAGAAGCUGUUGGUCGAGGUCACUGCUGAGUCACUGACCCACACUUCCCCAAGACUUUCUGUGGAGAUAUCAACUUUCUACACACUGUGUGCCUCUCAGGAUGACUAGAGCAAUUGCCCACCUCUUUGUUUUUAAGUAGUUAUUCCAACCAGUUAGACACAUGCACGCACGCACACACACACACACACACACACACACAC
Molecule: non-coding RNA, 828 nt
Organism: Callorhinus ursinus (northern fur seal)
Lineage: Eukaryota; Metazoa; Chordata; Mammalia; Carnivora; Otariidae
Source: RefSeq, a predicted model, not a curated record